Molecule: ribosomal RNA, 235 nt
Filed under: uncultured bacterium
Lineage: Bacteria
Description: partial 16S ribosomal RNA
Rfam family: Bacterial small subunit ribosomal RNA
Source: RNAcentral
UGAGGAACAUGACCUUCGGCGGGGGAUAGCCGGCCCAACGGCCGGGUAAUACCGCGUACGACCUUUUGGGGACAUCCCCGAGGGGUGAAAGCAGCAAUGCGCCGAAAGAGUGCCUCGCGGCCUAUCAGCUAGUUGGUGGGGUAAUAGCUCACCAAGGCGAUGACGGGUAGCCGGCCUGAGAGGGUGACCGGCCACACUGGGACUGAGACACGGCCCAGACUCCUACGGGAGGCAG